AUGUUUGUAACCAUCAAUGAUUGGCCUGCUCUUAGUAACCUUUCAGGACAGACAAACAAGGGAUACCAUGCAUGCACGCACUAUUUAGAUGACACCGAAAGUAUAUAUUUGGACAAAUGCAGGAAGAAUGUGUACCUGGGACAUCAUCGAUUUCUUCCGACCAACCAUCAAUGUCGAAAGAAAGGCAAGCAUUUCGAAGGCGAGGCAGAUCACCGGAAGCAGCGCGCCGUCCGUAUUGGUGAUCACAUACUUGCUACGGUUAAUGAUUUAGAAGUAAUCUUUGGAAAGGGUCCCGACAGACUAUCUGUUCCAAAUGACAUUGAGGGACGCGCACCCAUGUGGAAGAAGUAA
RNAcentral lists this ribosomal RNA (351 nucleotides) under Triticum aestivum (bread wheat). RNAcentral's name for it is "partial small subunit ribosomal RNA". The record is from RNAcentral. Lineage: Eukaryota; Viridiplantae; Streptophyta; Magnoliopsida; Poales; Poaceae.